This 879-nucleotide ribosomal RNA is filed under the name Cordyceps javanica. RNAcentral's name for it is "partial large subunit ribosomal RNA". It matches the Rfam family "Eukaryotic large subunit ribosomal RNA", at positions 54 to 967 of the family's 3401-position model. The record is from RNAcentral. Lineage: Eukaryota; Fungi; Ascomycota; Sordariomycetes; Hypocreales; Cordycipitaceae.
ACGGGAGUAGAGCAACAGGGAUUGCCCCAGUAACGGCGAGUGAAGCGGCAACAGCUCAAAUUUGAAAUCUGGCCCUCGGGUCCGAGUUGUAAUUUGUAGAGGAUGCUUUUGGCGAGGUGCCUUCCGAGUUCCCUGGAACGGGACGCCAUAGAGGGUGAGAGCCCCGUCUGGUCGGACACCGAGCCUCUGUAAAGCUCCUUCGACGAGUCGAGUAGUUUGGGAAUGCUGCUCAAAAUGGGAGGUAUAUGUCUUCUAAAGCUAAAUAUUGGCCAGAGACCGAUAGCGCACAAGUAGAGUGAUCGAAAGAUGAAAAGCACUUUGAAAAGAGGGUUAAAAAGUACGUGAAAUUGUUGAAAGGGAAGCGCCUAUGACCAGACUUGAGCCCGGUGAAUCAUCCAGCGUUCUCGCUGGUGCACUUUGCCGGGCCCAGGCCAGCAUCAGUUUGGCGCGGGGGAUAAAGGUGACGGGAAUGUGGCUCCCUCGGGAGUGUUAUAGCCCGCUACGUAAUACCCUGCGCCGGACUGAGGUACGCGCAUUGCAAGGAUGCUGGCGUAAUGGUCAUCAGCGACCCGUCUUGAAACACGGACCAAGGAGUCGUCUUCGUAUGCGAGUGUUCGGGUGUCAAACCCCUACGCGUAAUGAAAGUGAACGCAGGUGAGAGCUUCGGCGCAUCAUCGACCGAUCCUGAUGUUCUCGGAUGGAUUUGAGUAAGAGCAUACGGGGCCGGACCCGAAAGAAGGUGAACUAUGCCUGUAUAGGGUGAAGCCAGAGGAAACUCUGGUGGAGGCUCGCAGCGGUUCUGACGUGCGAAUCGAUCGUCAAAUAUGGGCAUGGGGGCGAAAGACUAAUCGAACCUUCUAGUAGCUGGUUUCCGCGAGU